AAUACAACCCAGAGCUUGUCCCAUUUUCUAUCGAGUUUUGAAGUGAAAAACCACGAUUACUUUGCCGCUCUCCAAAUAUGAUUAUCCAGUUCAGCAGAUAAAAGGAUUGUAAUUUCUGCAAAGAAGUUAGAAGUAGAUUCAAAUUCAGUGGGAAGGGAUUGAAAUUUCCGCGAAACAAAACCAGCAUAAGAGGCUGGCCAAGAAAAAGAUGGGACGGUUUUUUUUCUCUCUAUAGAUAACUACGACU
This 247-nucleotide unclassified non-coding RNA is filed under the name Hevea brasiliensis (rubber tree). The record is from RNAcentral. Lineage: Eukaryota; Viridiplantae; Streptophyta; Magnoliopsida; Malpighiales; Euphorbiaceae.